AAUAACAAGCUUGCUACUUGCUACGACUAAAGGCAAACGAUGCUUAGCACAUCCAUGAAGCUCAAGAUAUGAUUACAUAUUUCUGGUGAUUUGUGAAGGACUGAACUUCGUUUGUAAUUCAAAUUCAAAAUAAAGAUGAAAUUACCUUUUCUCCCAUAAGUUUGCGAAGUUCUUGAUCGUUUCCAGAAGGGCUGUUAGAAAACUUUUCCGAUCAAGUUUUGAACAUUUGAGUUACCAGGGCAUGAGGUUGUGAAUUACACUGAAUCUAUUGUCUAAAUUGUAUUUGUAUCAUUCAGUAUCACUUUGCAUUAUUAGUCACUUGUAGAACAGUUAAGAUAGUUCAAUAUCUUGCUGAAUCAGUGUUACUUCAGUGUCUUGACAUUACAAUGUGAAAUGAUAAAGUGAAGUAGUAAAAACCUUUUGAUCAAAUAACUUUAUUAUAAGUGGGCACAUCGACUCAAAUGCCGAUUAGUCCUUCACUUUAUGACAUGGUAAAAUAGUUGAAUUGCACAUUCAUAUCUUCUAACAGCAAAGUAUCCAGGUAAGUGGGUAUAUUAUCUUUGUCGCACAACAGUCCAAACAUUUAAUGAUGCUUCAGGUUUGAACACUUUUUCCCUUUAAACCUUCAUUGGGUAAAGAUCAAAGGCAUUAAGUGUCAAAAUAUACAAAAUUCAUAUAAUUCUAAACAAUUUUUCUAGUUUUAUUGUAAUAGAUUUACUCUUGGCUUCGUCCCAAUUUACUAUUAAAUAAGGAAAAUCUUAUAGUAUUUUUUAUUUGGUGUUUAAUUUUUGUCUAAUUUGUUUUUUAUAAUAAAUUUUAAAUUUUUAAAUUAAAUAUUAGGGUAAAAAACUCAAAUAAACCAAGCUGAGAAGUUUAUUACCCAAAUCAGCCAAAACAAAAAUUUUUUUAGCAAUCCACCAAUGACCAUUUAAAUAUAAUUCGAAUCAUAUUGAUUCGAACUACAAAUGCAUGUAAUUCGAAACAACUUGCUUCGAAUUACGUUUGAAUGGAUAUGCAUGUAAUUCGAAUCAAGUAGAUUCGAAUUAGAGAAGGCUAAAUCGAAUUGACUCGAUUCGAAUUAGUAGGCUCACGUGACUUUAUGGAGUUCGAAUCAACAUGAGAUUCAAAUAACAAGCUUGCUACUUGCUACGACUCAAGGCAAACGAUGCUUAGCACAUCCAUGAAGCUCAAGAUAUGAUUACAUAUUUCUGGUGAUUUGUGAAGGACUGAACUUCGUUUGUAAUUCAAAUUCAAAAUAAAGAUGAAAUUACCUUUUCUCCCGUAAGUUUGCGAAGUUCUUGAUCGUUUCCAGAAGGGCUGUUAGAAAACUUUUCCGAUCAAGUUUUGAACAUUUGAGUUACCAGGG
This 1366-nucleotide long non-coding RNA is filed under the name Arachis ipaensis. Its description in RNAcentral is "long non-coding RNA (AIPA_LNC000773)". Lineage: Eukaryota; Viridiplantae; Streptophyta; Magnoliopsida; Fabales; Fabaceae. The record is from RNAcentral.